RNAcentral lists this ribosomal RNA (494 nucleotides) under uncultured bacterium. RNAcentral's name for it is "partial 16S ribosomal RNA". It matches the Rfam family "Bacterial small subunit ribosomal RNA", at positions 28 to 507 of the family's 1533-position model. The record is from RNAcentral.
GACGAACGCUGGCGGCGCGCUUAACACAUGCAAGUCGAACGGAAAGGCCUGCUUUCCCUUGUGGAUUGCGGGUACUCGAGUGGCGAACGGGUGAGUAACACGUGAGUGAUCUGCCCCCAACUUGGGUAUAAGCCUGGGAAACUGGGUCUAAUUCCCGAUAGGACUGCAGGGUGGGGCCUGUGGUGGAAAACGAUUUUCUAGUGGUUGGGGAUGAGCUCGUGGCCUAUCAGCUUGUUGGUGGGGUAAUGGCCUACCAAGGCGGCGACGGGUAGCCGGCCUGAGGGGGUGGACCGCCACAUUGGGACUGAGAUACGGCCCAGACUCCUACGGGAGGCAGCAGUGGGGAAUAUGGCGCAGUGGGCGGAAGCCUGAUGCAGCGACGCCGCGUGGGGGAUGCCGGCCUUCGGGUUGUAAACUCCUUUCGACCGCGAGGAAGCCACCUGGUUGGAAGGGUGGUGACGGUAGUGGUAGAAGAAGCACCGGCUAACUACGUG